This is a long non-coding RNA of Aethalodelphis obliquidens (Pacific white-sided dolphin), 170 nucleotides long. RefSeq lists it as uncharacterized. NCBI's taxonomy places the organism in Eukaryota, Metazoa, Chordata, Mammalia, Artiodactyla, Delphinidae. The transcript is spliced from 4 exons. The record is from RefSeq and is a predicted model, not a curated record.
CAUCAAAAAGUCUACAAAUAAUAAAUGCUGGAGAAGGUGUGGAGGAAAAGGAACCUUGCUACACUGUUGGUGGGAAUGCAAAUUGGUGCAGCUACUAUGGAGUACAGUGUGGAGGUUCCCUUAAAAACUACAAGUAGGGGCUUCCCUGGUGGCGCAGUGGUUGAGAGUCC